GUGUCUCAGACAUGCAAAUAUUGAACAGACACCGUCCGACACUACUAAGCACAAUGAUAAAACACAUUCUGCUCCAUGAAUCUGUCGGAUAUUCGACAAUUAAUUAAGCAUGGAACAAUAACAUUUGUUAAAGAACAAUAAGCCGGAUCAAGUUUUUUGGGUCAGACAACCAACCCAUCGCAGGCUAAGCCAAGCUCUUGCAGACGACAGAGAUUACAAGAACCAAGCUGGAAACAUCUUAUAGCACAGAUGAAGGUUCUACAAUCACCCGCUUCUACUGGAAUCCAUAAAAUGGCACAAAUGUACUGGCAACAGCGAAUGAAAUGUGUCAAACAAACGACGGUCCUCGCCUUAAGGAAGUCCAUUUCCUGAUUAUGGUUCAAUGACCGGGAAUUUAGGGUCCGACUCCAUCAGAACCAGAAGGGAAGUCACGGCAUACCCAGGCCAUCUGUUACCGGAUAGAGAACGCUGGGGCCCAGAAUGUUGAAAAGGCUCUGAUGGGCACAGCCCAGAAUCUGGUUGGACCCAGUCUCGCCCACCCAGUCCAACUCUGUAACUCCUCUGACUCAUUUGAAACCACAAGUAGCUUGAACUAGGACUUCAAUUUUAUGACUUUGGUCAUCAUUAAACUUUUGUUGUUUUUAACAA
Mustela lutreola (European mink) is the source of this 648-nucleotide long non-coding RNA. RefSeq lists it as uncharacterized. The transcript has 5 exons. The record is from RefSeq and is a predicted model, not a curated record. NCBI's taxonomy places the organism in Eukaryota, Metazoa, Chordata, Mammalia, Carnivora, Mustelidae.